GGACAAUCCCACGAGCAAGAGGGGCAGCUGUGUUGUACUUUAUCUCUCCCGUGAGGGCUACCACAGGGCGGCCAGCCAGGCUGCAUGGGGCCAGCCAGCCUGUAUGGACCCAGGGUCGCGGCGUGGGUCACCCGGGAGGCUGCAUCCGGAGUCCGCGGGGCCCGGAGCCAGAGAGAGAAGGGAGGUUCCUCGGUCAAAAGAGACAUCCAGAGUCCAUUUCCAGCUACUGGAACAAUAACCAAGAUAUGAACACUGAAACAAUGCCCCAGGGUGUGUUAAACCCCAGGAACAACUAUGGGGAUGGUACCAACAAGAACGUGAUCAGAAAGGAAUGCUGGACACCAGAUGGAAACCAAGGUCACUAGAUCAGAGGCUGACUUUGCUAUUCUCACACCCAGGACCACGAACUGGAGAUGUGAUGGGGAAGAUUGGAUAAAUACUUCUUCAGUAAGAAAAAGAGUCAACUUCUUGGUUCUCUUUCAAGCUGUUAUGGAAGAUCUUUUCUUCACGGGCAACAUGAAAAUGAAAAGAUAUGUCAUGCUGUGGAUCAUCUUCCUUCCAAAGGACCAGCUUCCUACCGUGGAGACCUAUGGAGCUCCUGGAAUAGCCGCCAAGUCCUUCAGCAUCCCCCUGGAAGCACUGGAAGUAAAUUAAAUACAUUUAAAUAGGACUUCCAUGGAGUCAGUGACUGGGAAUCAGCAUGCCAAUGCAGGGAAUAUGAACCUGUGCUGCCUAACAAGAGAAGUCACCACAGUGAGAACCUGUGCACUGCAACAAAGAGGAGCCCCUACUCUCCACGACUAGACGAAGACCCAGCACAAUCAAAAACAGGUAAAUAAAGUAAAAAAAAAAGACAGCACUUAAAAAGAUAUAUAUAAAUAUAGUCUUUAAAAAAGUCAAGUAGUUUUCAUUCCUUCUUCCCUAUCAAACACCCAGUUUUCAUUAAAUUAAUGAAUUCAGUGGCUCAGAUGGUAAAGAAUCCUCCUACAGUGCUGGAGACCUGGGUUUGAUCCCUGGGUUGGGAAAGAUCUCCUGGAGGAGGGCAUGGUGACCCACUCCAGUAUUCGUGCUUGAGAAAUCCCAUGGACAGAGUAGCCUGGCAGGCUACAGUCCAUGAGGUCACAAAGAGCUGGAUGCAGCUAAGCGACUAAGCACAAUGACUUCAACUAUCUCAUCCUCUGCUGCCUCCUUCCCCUUUUGCCUUCAAUCUUUCCCAGCAUCAGGGCCUUUUCCAAUGAGUCGACUGUUCCCAGAGGAUGAGAUGGUUGGAUAGCAUCACUGACUCAAUGGACAUGAAAUUGGGCAAACUCCGGGAGAUAGUGAGGGAUGGGGAGACCUGGUGUGCUGCAGUCCAUGUGGUCACAAAGAGUCGGACAUGACUGAACAACAAAAAUGCCUUCAAAUUGCUCACAUCAUCAACUUCUCCUAAAGGAUAUUUGGAGCAUAGAGUAUUCUAGAAACAAAGCUAAAAGCUUCUUGUUAUGAAACUGUUCACCAAGCAUCAAUCUCUCAGUGAUGGGGCUGAAGAUAUGAACAGCUUUAGAGCCCUGAUCAUCAUCUCCCCAUUCAUCAGAGAAACCGGACCUCCAAAGUCACAGAGCAGAGCCAAGGAUGGACCCAGAGAUGCUUAGGCCAGGGUAUUUGAGGACAGAGAGUAGAUAGUGAUGGGAAUCUUCAGGUCAUAUGAAAAAGGUGUUUCUAGGGCUGUAGAUAUCCAUUCCUUUGUCCAGUUUAGCUCAGGGGUCUCAAAUUACAACGUAUCACCCUGUCCUGAAGCAUUUGCCCUAAGAAGACUGAAAAGUAGUGUUUAGAGUCAAAUAUAUCCCUUCUCCCCUUUUUUUUGUAGUUCUAGUAACUCCACUCUGGCUUCCUAGGUGGCUCAGUGAUAAAGAAUACACCUGCCAAUGCAGGAGACGUGGGUUCAGUCUCUGGGUCAGGAAGAUCCUCUGCAGAAGGAAAUGGCAACCCACUCUAGUAUUCUUGCCUGGGAAAUCUCAUGGACAGAGAAGCCUUGUCGGCUAUAGUUUAUGAGGUCGCAAGAGUAGGACAUGACUUAGUGACUAAACAACAAGAAACUCCACUCGUAUGUGGGAUCAAAGAAUGAGUUUCCUCUACCUAGAAAAGAAUUUUUUCUUUAACUGAACCCUUAGCUUCUUUGAAAGAUUCAAUUAAGUCCGCCAGAUUUGGGAAAAUAAACCUGGUAAUCAGUGGAGGAAGUAAAGCGCUUGCCAGCCGUCUUCACAUCUCUCUAUUCUCACUGACAUCGUAACUAGCCUCCAAAUUCAUUUAUCCUCAUUUCUUUCUCCAAGGCACUUUCCAACAGAGCAAGCUAGUGCUUGUGAGUGCUUAUUUGUGUUUGUAUAUGGGUGGGUUUUGGAGUCCGAAUAUCCCUGGUUGUGGAAUAUGCUUGAUGUUUCCUCUGAAAAAAUAUCAGAGGAAAAAGAAAAGGGUAUUUCUGGGAAUCUUGCUGUUAUUCCACUUACCCAUCUAGUUGACUUUUUAAUUUUCAGCCACAUUUUAAUAAAAGACUUUGAAUAGCUCUGCUUUUAUGAUUUAAAUGGACUUUCAAAUUGGGAUUUAACCAUCUGAUAUAACAAAGUGGGUGGACUUCAGUCUUCGGAGGAAAAAGAAUAAACAUCCUGAAAGCUGUAAUUAAAAUUUUCCAUUUUCCUCCAACCCUCUUAUUGCAAUUAUUGUCACACUUGAAAUAGCCAGUGUCCAAAUUCAAACCUCAAGUUUUGCAAAAAGCCUUCAAUUCGAGGUAGUGGGGUGGGGAUGGAGGCAGGGUGGAGGGAGUGUGUGUUGGGGGGUGGGGGUGAGGCAGCUGAAGUCAUUUUGGUAAAAAUCCAGUUAUGUUGAAUGAGGUCCACAUGGAGAAUUGCUGAGGAAGGUAUGAAGUCAGACCUAAGGAAAGAUGACAGGAAAACUUCAAUACAGAGCAACUGGGAUAUAAAAGGUGAAGAUAGGUAGAUAUCACAGAUGACUAAGAAAAUGGCAACUCUAUGUAGUAACUGUGUAAUUGGCCUUCCCAAUACAGACCCCUCCGCCAGGCUCUCUGCUUUUGUUCUUCUCAGAAGUAUCCAGAUAAUAGUGUCUGAUGCAGGUUUCCUGACUUGUUUUACAGAUGCUAAAACCCCCACCAAGUGGAAGAAAUCAAUGACUUGAUGACCAUGAGCACAUAGCCCCCCGGACCUACUGGGGCCUAGCUAAGGAUCUAUAUUGUUAACCCCUGUGACAGGAUCCUGUUACCUCACCAUCAACCAAUCAGAGAAUUGUGCACGAGCUGAUCACAGUCUGGGAUGCUCCUCCCUUACGUGGCUUUUAAAAAUGCUUAGCUGAAACCAAUGGGGAGUUUGAGCAUUUUUAGAAUCCUGAACUUCUUGCUUGGCUCCCUGCAAUAAAUACAGCACUUUCUUUCACCACAACCGAGUGUUAGUAGAGUGGCUCCACUGCAUGUGGGCAAGCCAACCCAGUACUACCCAUUCCCCUCUCCGUAGGGUUAUGCUUGACUCAUGCUGUGUUUCACACUAGAGGUCAAGAUUCAGAGUUUCUAAGGCCUGAAGCCUAUGUAGUGAGGCUGUUUAUUAAAAACAAACAGAUUUAUCCACUCACCAAACUUUCCAAAAGGGCUUCCCAGUUGGCUCAGUGGGUAAAGAAUCGACCUGCAAUGUAGGAGAUAAAGGACACUAGGGUUCAAUCCCUGGGUCGGGAAGAUCCCCUGGAGGAGGAAAUGGCAACCCACUCCAGUAUUCUUGCCUGGGGGAUCCCAUGGACAGAGGAGCCUGGUAGGCUCCAGUCCAGGGAGUCAUAAGAGUUGGACACCACUGAGCUACUAAGCACACAGACUUUCCAAAAACAAGCGGUAGUAAAAGUACACUGGGGAGUCCAGAGCCUCAGUAAAUUUCCUUGUGUCCACACUGCCCUUCAGUUGUUUCUGCCUUCAGUCUAUGUCAAGAACCUUUUUUCUAUCUGGACCCCUACCAUCCUGGAUCCAACUGCCUUCAUUUCUUGCCUGAACUACUGAAACAGUCUUCUGACCAUCUGAUCUUCCUUCAUCUUCCCUUGUGUCUUUACAGUCUACUCAACCCACAGCAGUCACGUUAGAUCCUGUCCUUGGUUGGUUCAAAAUCCUCCAAACGUUUGUCACAGCCAGUAUAUGAAGUUCUCACCAUACCCUUUGUGGUCAUGCUUUAUUGGCUCACACUGUGUCUCUCACAAGUUUUC
This 4224-nucleotide long non-coding RNA is filed under the name Capra hircus (goat). Its description in RNAcentral is "lncRNA (ENSCHIG00000008008.1)". The record is from RNAcentral. Lineage: Eukaryota; Metazoa; Chordata; Mammalia; Artiodactyla; Bovidae.